GAACGCUGGCGGCGUGCCUAACACAUGCAAGUCGAACGGACAAGGGGGAGCUUGCUCCCCUGCGUUAGUGGCGGACUGGUGAGUAACACGUAAGCAACCUGCCUAUCAGAGGGGAAUAACAGUGAGAAAUCAUUGCUAAUACCGCAUAAGCUGAUAGUAUCGCAUGAUACAGUCAGAAAAGGAGCAAUCCGCUGAUAGAUGGGCUUGCGUCUGAUUAGCUAGUUGGUGGGGUAAUGGCCUACCAAGGCGACGAUCAGUAGCCGAGCUGAGAGGCUCAACGGCCACAUUGGGACUGAGAUACGGCCCAGACUCCUACGGGAGGCAGCAGUCGGGAAUAUUGCGCAAUGGAGGAAACUCUGACGCAGUGACGCCGCGUAUAGGAAGAAGGUUUUCGGAUUGUAAGCUAUUGUCAUUAGGGAAGAAAAAGACUGUACCUAAGGAGGAAGCCCCGGCUAACUAUGUG
RNAcentral lists this ribosomal RNA (463 nucleotides) under uncultured bacterium. Its description in RNAcentral is "bacterial SSU rRNA". It matches the Rfam family "Bacterial small subunit ribosomal RNA", at positions 31 to 507 of the family's 1533-position model. The record is from RNAcentral.